CCCUUAGAUGUCCGGGGCCGCACGCGCGCUGCACUGGGGCACGUAGCGUGCGUAUUGUCACCUGGUAUCCAAUGCGUACCGGGAAACCAUAGAAAUGUGCAUCUCGUUACUGGGAUAGGGCAUUGUAAUGAUGCUCUUGAACGAGGAAUUCCUAGUAAGCGUAAGUCAACAACUAGCGUUGAUUACGUCCCUGCCCUUUGUACACACCGCCCGUCGCUACUACCGAUUGAAUGAUUUAGUGAGGUGUUUGGAUCGCGACUACUGAACGUUCAUUCGUGGACGUUUGUCGGUUGCGAAAAGUCCACCAAACUUGAUCAUUUAGAGGAAGUAAAAGUCGUAACA
This 342-nucleotide ribosomal RNA is filed under the name uncultured eukaryote. RNAcentral's name for it is "partial 18S ribosomal RNA". It matches the Rfam family "Eukaryotic small subunit ribosomal RNA", at positions 1470 to 1796 of the family's 1831-position model. The record is from RNAcentral.